This is a long non-coding RNA of Lotus japonicus, 2551 nucleotides long. RefSeq lists it as uncharacterized. Lineage: Eukaryota; Viridiplantae; Streptophyta; Magnoliopsida; Fabales; Fabaceae. The record is from RefSeq and is a predicted model, not a curated record. The transcript has 3 exons.
UAUAACGAUCUGAUUUAUUAUUAUGUUCUCAUAUAAAAAUUCUCAUAACACUAUUAAAAAAAUGUGAUUUACCGACGGAUUUUAGCGAGGGAUAAAAAUCCGUCGCUAAUAGCGACGGAAUUACCGACGGAUCCGCGGUUUAAAAAUAAACAUCCUGUUUUGAAAUUUAGCGACGGAUUAGAACCCUCGCUGUUAUUCCGUCGCUAAUGUUAUUUUAAUAUUUUAUAUUGCAAAUUAGCGACGGAUCUGUACCGUCGCUGAUGAUCUCCCGUCGCUAAAUAUAUUGUUUUUAAAAAUGAAAAAUUGUUCUCCCAGAUUUGAACCCGGGUCUUGUCUCCAAAAGGGGAAGGCUUUAGCCAUUUGAACUAAAUGACAUAUUUUGCUAUAUAGAAACUACUAGGUUAAAAGAUUUCCAAACACUUAAGCAGUCCAUUCACUCAUGUUCGCUAACACACUCAUCUCACCUCACAUGGCCGCCGCCCCUUGUUUCCCUUCGCGUUGUAAUCUCACCUGACUCCUCCCUUUUCUACUUCUCCUUCUCCACCACAAGGGGCAAACUUUCGAAUUUCCCAGCUGAAAUUCUCUUGUUUCGCUAUUUGGGUCAUCGUCAAGCUAUGCGUGGAGCUGAAUCUGAAGGUGGUGGUGGUGGUUAUUUGUUACUUGCUUUGAUUGCCAAACUGAUGGAAUUAAUGAGUGGAAGGAAAGGAAAUGAAAGGUGGAAGGGGGGCGGGGGUAAGAGUAAGAAAAUGCAAUCAUGCUCUGGUUGAAGCAAAGGUGUUAAGGUGUACAUUUUUUCUAAGGAAUAUAGAUAUGGAAGCCCAAAAAAACUUAUCCUUUUGCUGGCUUUAUAUGCUUUUUUCAAUUGGACUUCUUUAUAAAAUGUUUUUCGAUUUUGUCAUUUUGAAGGACAUGGGGCGCUUCAAUUCAUCAGUGUCUUACCCAUCAUGUGGCAGGGGUGCCUCAGUUUUUGGAAAUUUUGUCUCCUCUUUAUGUAAAGAGGUUCCCAAUCAUGUUAAGUAAAGUCUAGCUUUUUUCCUUUUUCAUGGGUACAGUGAUAGAUUGAAAUACCCUACUAUUUUACUCUGUAUUUAGCAGAUAAAUUUACAUUUUGUGUGUAUGGGGAUGUACACUAACAAAGAAAAGAAACUGAUGCAACAAGAUAAAAUUGGUGGGUUUGGUAUUAAAUGAGUAAGAAAUAUUGUAAAUAGCAGAGAUUUUUUGCUCAGAUUGAACUGGAAAAGUUAGGCUGUUGCAUAGUAUUUUCAUUCAAAGUAUAAUAAUGUAUGUUUUGGUUACUAGGACAUGUGUAUAGUUCUUUGAAUUAUCAUUAAGAAUUAUUACAUUUUGGAUGAAAUUUUGGGGUUUAUUUUUCGUUUUCCUAUGAGCAGUAGACACUGAUGCUCAUACAUUUGGUAAAAAGAAAAUGGUUGAUUCACAUGGCCUUGAGCUUGUGAGAGGACAGCUUUUGUGAAUUGCAUGCCAUGUUUGCCUAAUCAUGUCGAAUAUAGCAGAAACAGAAGUUUGGCUUGGAUGAUGCUUUUCAUGUGAGAGUAGCAUAAUGCUAUUUAUUGUCUAACGUUUAACCGUAUAUUGGCACCUAUUCAAGAUUUAGGUUUUCACCAUCCAUUAGGUGCUUGUCUUCAAUUUGUGAAGAAGAGAGAUAAUGCUCAUGAAGUUAAUAGAUAGUUUGUGGAAACUAUAUGCUAGGUAGCCUGCUUUGUCAUCUUGAAGUAGAGGGGGGGCCAUCUAUAUAAUAAUUUUUGAUGACAUGAAGGCUUACCAGUUAGUUCUACUAGCAGAUCCAGCUGUUGCCAGAACCAGAACACCAAACCAAGAGGAACCAACAAGAUGAGAACCCUUGAAUGUCAUUAAUAAAACAUAGGAACCAGAACAGCUUUUAAUAUCAAGGAUCUUCAUACACUAUCAAAGGGAAGGCAUUGGAGGAAGAAGAUAACCUAACACCCUUGCGCAGCUUGCGAUUCAUACAAGGUUUGAGUUGGAACUUGCGAUUUCAUCUCCUCUAUAAGCCUCGACUUCUCAGGAUAGAGGGAGCAAUCUGCUUUGUGUUUCCCUUCUGUGGAUGUGAAGCUGCUUGAAUAAAGAGGUACAUCCCUAUCUGUCUAAGUUUGAAGCUACUGAAUGAAGGGUUUGACACAUGUGUUUGUGGGUAAAAUCGUUGUUGGGAUGUAUCUUUAUGGGUUCUCACUAUUUUCAGCAACAAUCUUUACUGAACUGCUACCAUAUGUUGCUUUAAAACCUUGCUUGCAUGAGUUAAAUAUGAGGAUUCAAGCCUUUAAAGUUUAUUUUAGCUUGAAAUCCUUGUUAUGUUUUAGUACCCUUUCCUUGUUUUGUCAAUUUACUUGCAUAUUGAUGAAUGCUUUGAUUUAAGCUUGACUAUGCUUUUAAAUUGGGGAUUCAUUUAUUGAACUACUACUUAUUGGUUGUGUAUUGUGUGUGUUAGAAACAUGGAUGUGCCUGAAAAUAGGAAAUCAAUGGAUAAUAGAUUAUAUUCCUUAUAGGAAUUCAUGUAUUAGCGAGGGAAAGGAAAUAA